Molecule: transfer RNA, 91 nt
Filed under: Candida dubliniensis CD36
Lineage: Eukaryota; Fungi; Ascomycota; Pichiomycetes; Serinales; Debaryomycetaceae
Description: transfer RNA-Pro (TGG)
Rfam family: tRNA
About the family: Transfer RNA (tRNA) molecules are approximately 80 nucleotides in length. Their secondary structure includes four short double-helical elements and three loops (D, anti-codon, and T loops).
Source: RNAcentral
GGGCGAAUGGUCUAGUGGUAUGAUUCCUCGUUUGGGUAUAAUUCAAACAUAAGUCUCGAGGAGGUCCGGGGUUCAAUUCCCCGUUUGCCCC